CGCGACUUGUACUGCGGUAGUUUUUCAUUUUUUGGAAGGAAUAUAGUUUCCACCCAUCCAUAUACUUUGAGUAAUUUAUAGAUAUAAACGGAUUUUAUUUUGGAACUUUGCUACUUGAAGGUUAACCUGAGUUAUUAUGUCUGCCAGCUCAGCAAACAAGGUAAAAAUAUUACAAUUGUGCUAGACUCUAUGUUAUUAAAAUGAAUAACGAAUAUACUCCAGAUAUUUCAUAUUUUGAUUGGUAUUAUUACAAUCUAUACAAAGAUAGCCAGGUCUCAUGAACCCGCAUGAACCA
Molecule: non-coding RNA, 295 nt
Organism: Paramuricea clavata
Lineage: Eukaryota; Metazoa; Cnidaria; Anthozoa; Malacalcyonacea; Plexauridae
Source: the annotation of a GenBank genome assembly